RNAcentral lists this ribosomal RNA (527 nucleotides) under Lepidosaphes sp. D1168C. RNAcentral's name for it is "partial 28S ribosomal RNA". The record is from RNAcentral. Lineage: Eukaryota; Metazoa; Arthropoda; Insecta; Hemiptera; Diaspididae.
AUCUGGGCGACGAAAUUCAGAAUGACUGGUCGGCCUCGUUGCAUGUCGGUCGUUUGAUAUUUUCGUUGCCGUGUCAGACGUCGCGAUCUGUUUGUUGUCGGUCCUUGCUCGGAGGAGUUGCGAUCGAGUUUGUUGUGGACGCGUUUCUGGCGUGUCAUACGGCAAAGACGCGAAUCUCUGGCCGACAACGGACAGUAAGCAGUGGUAGCCGACGCUGUGUUACGGCACGGUGUUGGUACCGAUCAGCGACGAUUUCUUCGGGCCUCUUUCCGACCCGUCUUGAAACACGGACCAAGGAGUCUAACAUGCGCGCGAGUCGCGGGGUAUCGAGCGUACUACGGUGCGUUCGGUCUUCAUGAAACCCGUAUGUUGAAGGCGUAAUGAAAGUGAACAGGGAAGAUGGUGUUCCGAGUAUACGUACCGUGAAAUUUCGCGGCCGGACACCCGCAUUCCCGGGGCGUCUUAAUGGUUCAUCGCGGAUGCGGAUUGUCGUCUCUCGGGGCGGCAGUCGGUCUGCGAUGGUCCGA